RNAcentral lists this ribosomal RNA (503 nucleotides) under uncultured fungus. Its description in RNAcentral is "eukaryotic LSU rRNA". The stretch from base 98 to 251 matches the Rfam family "5.8S ribosomal RNA". Lineage: Eukaryota; Fungi. The record is from RNAcentral.
CACACCUGUGCACCUUUCGGUUGCGGCGUGUCAAAGCGCCGCUUCCGCUUCAUAUACAACUACAGUCGAGAAUGUCUAAUACUAUAAAAACAAAAACAACUUUCAACAACGGAUCUCUUGGCUCUCGUAUCGAUGAAGAACGCAGCGAAAUGCGAUAAGUAACGUGAAUUGCAGAAUUCAGUGAAUCAUCGAAUCUUUGAACGCACCUUGCGCUCCAUGGUAUUCCGUGGAGCAUGCCUGUUUGAGUGUCACGUCAACCCUCACCCUCGAGAUGUUACAGUCGCGAGCGGUGGAUUUGGACCGUGCCGUAAUCGGCUCGUCCUGAAAUGCAUUAGCUUGCGCUUUUAGAGUGCUGGGCACCGGUGUGAUAAUUAUCUGUGCCAACGCCUUAAGCCUCUUCAGCGGCGCUGCUUACAGCCGUCCUGACGGACAAUCAUAUAAAGCUUUGGCCUCAAAUCAGGUAGGACUACCCGCUGAACUUAAGCAUAUCAAUAAGCGGAGGA